Molecule: ribosomal RNA, 943 nt
Filed under: Inocybe pseudorubens
Lineage: Eukaryota; Fungi; Basidiomycota; Agaricomycetes; Agaricales; Inocybaceae
Description: partial large subunit ribosomal RNA
Rfam family: Eukaryotic large subunit ribosomal RNA
Source: RNAcentral
UUAAGCAUAUCAAUAAGCGGAGGAAAAGAAACUAACAAGGAUUCCCCCUAGUAACUGCGAGUGAAGCGGGAAAAGCUCAAAUUUGAAAUCUGGCGGUUCUCUGGGCCGUCCGAGUUGUAAUCUAGAGAAGUGCUUACCUGUGCUGGACCGUGUAAAAGUCUCCUGGAAUGGAGCAUCACAGAGGGUGAGAAUCCCGUCUUUGACAUGGACUGCCUGUGCGACAUGGUGCGCUCUCGAAGAGUCGAGUUGUUUGGGAAUGCAGCUCAAAAUGGGUGGUAAAUGCCAUCUAAAGCUAAAUAUUGGCGAGAGACCGAUAGCGAACAAGUACCGUGAGGGAAAGAUGAAAAGAACUUUGGAAAGAGAGUUAAACAGUACGUGAAAUUGCUGAAAGGGAAACGCUUGAAGUCAGUCGCGUCGGCCGGAAAUCAGUCUGCUUCUGCUUGAUGUACUUUCUGGUCUGACGGGUCAGCAUCAGUUUUGACCUCUGGAUAAAGUCAUUGGGAAUGUGGCAUCUCAGGAUGUGUUAUAGCCCGUUGUCGCAUACAGUGGUUGGGAUUGAGGAGCUCAGCACGCCCGCGAGGGCCGGGUCUCCAAGACCACGUUCGUGCUUAGGAUGCUGGCAUAAUGGCUUUAAUCGACCCGUCUUGAAACACGGACCAAGGAGUCUAACAUGCCUGCGAGUGUUUGGGUGGAAAACCCAUGCGCGCAAUGAAAGUGAAAGUUGAGAUCCCCUCGGGGAGCAUUGACGCCCGGACCAGACCUUCUGUGACGGAUCCGCGGUAGAGCAUGUAUGUUGGGACCCGAAAGAUGGUGAACUAUGCCUGAAUAGGGUGAAGCCAGAGGAAACUCUGGUGGAGGCUCGUAGCGAUUCUGACGUGCAAAUCGAUCGUCAAAUUUGGGUAUAGGGGCGAAAGACUAAUCGAACCAUCUAGUAGCUGGUUCC